GAUGAACGCUAGCGGCAGGCUUAACACAUGCAAGUCGAGGGGCAGCGCGGGAUAGCAAUAUCCUGGCGGUGACCGGCGGAAGGGUGCGUAACGCGUGAGCGACAUGCCCGUUGCCCGGGGACAACCGGUGGAAACGCCGACUAAUCCCCGAUGGGAUAUUGUGCCGCAUGGCACGAUAUUGAAAGUUACGGCGGCGACGGAUUGGCUCGCGUCCGAUUAGCUUGUUGGCGGGGUAACGGCCCACCAAGGCUGCGAUCGGUAGGGGUUCUGAGAGGAAGGCCCCCCACAAUGGGACUGAGACACGGCCCAUACUCCUACGGGAGGCAGCAGUGAGGAAUAUUGGUCAAUGGGCGGAAGCCUGAACCAGCCAUGCCGCGUGCGGGAAGGAGGCCCUAUGGGCUGUGAACCGCUUUUGCCUGGGGGCAAUAAGGGCGUCGCGCACGUCCGAUGAGAGUACCAGGCGAAUAAGCAUCGGCUAACUCCGU
Molecule: ribosomal RNA, 485 nt
Filed under: uncultured bacterium
Lineage: Bacteria
Description: partial 16S ribosomal RNA
Rfam family: Bacterial small subunit ribosomal RNA
Source: RNAcentral